This 468-nucleotide ribosomal RNA is filed under the name uncultured bacterium. RNAcentral's name for it is "partial 16S ribosomal RNA". It matches the Rfam family "Bacterial small subunit ribosomal RNA", at positions 28 to 507 of the family's 1533-position model. The record is from RNAcentral.
GACGAACGCUGGCGGCGUGCUUAACACAUGCGAGUCGAACGGAAAGGCCCUGCUUUUGUGGGGUGCUCGAGUGGCGAACGGGUGAGUAACACGUGAGUAACCUGCCCUUGACUUUGGGAUAACUUCAGGAAACUGGGGCUAAUACCGGAUAGGAGCUCCUGCUGCAUGGUGGGGGUUGGAAAGUUUCGGCGGUUGGGGAUGGACUCGCGGCUUAUCAGCUUGUUGGUGGGGUAGUGGCUUACCAAGGCUUUGACGGGUAGCCGGCCUGAGAGGGUGACCGGCCACAUUGGGACUGAGAUACGGCCCAGACUCCUACGGGAGGCAGCAGUGGGGAAUAUUGCACAAUGGGCGGAAGCCUGAUGCAGCAACGCCGCGUGCGGGAUGACGGCCUUCGUGUUGUAAACCGCUUUCGCCUGUGACGAAGCGUGAGUGACGGUAAUGGGUAAAGAAGCACCGGCUAACUACGUG